RNAcentral lists this ribosomal RNA (1041 nucleotides) under gut metagenome. RNAcentral's name for it is "bacterial SSU rRNA". It matches the Rfam family "Bacterial small subunit ribosomal RNA", at positions 467 to 1520 of the family's 1533-position model. The record is from RNAcentral.
UAUUGCAGGUACCGCACGAAUAAGGACCGGCUAAUUCCGUGCCAGCAGCCGCGGUAAUACGGAAGGUCCGGGCGUUAUCCGGAUUUAUUGGGUUUAAAGGGAGCGCAGGCCGUCCUUUAAGCGUGCUGUGAAAUGCCGCGGCUCAACCGUGGCACUGCAGCGCGAACUGGAGGACUUGAGUACGCACGAGGUAGGCGGAAUUCGUGGUGUAGCGGUGAAAUGCUUAGAUAUCACGAAGAACUCCGAUUGCGAAGGCAGCUUACCGGAGCGCAACUGACGCUGAGGCUCGAAAGCGCGGGUAUCGAACAGGAUUAGAUACCCUGGUAGUCCGCGCGGUAAACGAUGGAUGCCCGCCGUUGGGUUUUAGAAUUCAGCGGCCAAGCGAAAGCGUUAAGCAUCCCACCUGGGGAGUACGCCGGCAACGGUGAAACUCAAAGGAAUUGACGGGGGCCCGCACAAGCGGAGGAACAUGUGGUUUAAUUCGAUGAUACGCGAGGAACCUUACCCGGGCUUGAAUUGCAGGAGAACGAUCCAGAGAUGGUGAGGCCCUUCGGGGCUCCUGUGAAGGUGCUGCAUGGUUGUCGUCAGCUCGUGCCGUGAGGUGUCGGCUCAAGUGCCAUAACGAGCGCAACCCCUGUCCAUAGUUGCCAUCAGGUCGUGCUGGGCACUCUGUGGAGACUGCCGCCGUAAGGUGUGAGGAAGGUGGGGAUGACGUCAAAUCAGCACGGCCCUUACGUCCGGGGCUACACACGUGUUACAAUGGGGCAUACAGCGAGUUGGAUGUGCGCAAGUACGUCCGGAUCAAUAAAGUGCCUCUCAGUUCGGACUGGGGUCUGCAACCCGACCCCACGAAGCUGGAUUCGCUAGUAAUCGCGCAUCAGCCAUGGCGCGGUGAAUACGUUCCCGGGCCUUGUACACACCGCCCGUCAAGCCAUGAAAGCCGGGGGCGCCUGAAGUCCGUGACCGCGAGGGUCGGCCUAGGGUGAAACCGGUGAUUGGGGCUAAGUCGUAACAAGGUAGCCGUACCGGAAGGUGCGGCUG